UAACAGUUGGAAACGACUGCUAAUACCGCAUACGCCCUACGGGGGAAAGCAGGGGACCUUCGGGCCUUGCGCGAUUGGAUAUGCCCAGGUGGGAUUAGCUAGUUGGUGAGGUAAUGGCUCACCAAGGCNACNAUCCCUAGCUGGUCUGAGAGGAUGAUCAGCCACACUGGAACUGAGACACGGUCCAGACUCCUACGGGAGGCAGCAGUGGGGAAUAUUGCACAAUGGGGGAAACCCUGAUGCAGCCAUGCCGCGUGUGUGAAGAAGGCCUUCGGGUUGUAAAGCACUUUCAGCGAGGAGGAAAGGUCAGUAGCUAAUAUCUGCUGGCUGUGACGUUACUCGAAGAAGAAGCACCGGCUAACUCCGUGCCAGCAGCCGCGGUAAUAC
Molecule: ribosomal RNA, 387 nt
Filed under: Aeromonas sp.
Lineage: Bacteria; Pseudomonadati; Pseudomonadota; Gammaproteobacteria; Aeromonadales; Aeromonadaceae
Description: bacterial SSU rRNA
Rfam family: Bacterial small subunit ribosomal RNA
Source: RNAcentral